AGAUGUUGGGUUAAGUCCCGCAACGAGCGCAACCCCCGUCCUUAGUUGCUACCAUUUAGUUGAGCACUCUAAGGAGACUGCCGGUGAUAAGCCGCGAGGAAGGUGGGGAUGACGUCAAGUCCUCAUGGCCCUUACGGGCUGGGCUACACACGUGCUACAAUGGCGGUGACAAUGGGAAGCGAAGACGCAAGUCCUAGCAAAUCUCAAAAAGCCGUCUCAGUUCGGAUUGGGCUCUGCAACUCGAGCCCAUGAAGUUGGAAUCGCUAGUAAUCGUGGAUCAGCACGCCACGGUGAAUACGUUCCCGGGCCUUGUACACACCGCCCGUCACACCAUGGGAGUUGGCUUUACCUGAAGACGGUGCGCUAACCAGCAAUGGAGGCAGCCGGCCACGGUAGGGUCAGCGACUGGGGUGAAGUCGUAACAAGGUAA
This 430-nucleotide ribosomal RNA is filed under the name uncultured Pseudomonadota bacterium. RNAcentral's name for it is "bacterial SSU rRNA". It matches the Rfam family "Bacterial small subunit ribosomal RNA", at positions 1070 to 1499 of the family's 1533-position model. The record is from RNAcentral. Lineage: Bacteria; Pseudomonadati; Pseudomonadota.